This 213-nucleotide ribosomal RNA is filed under the name Triticum aestivum (bread wheat). Its description in RNAcentral is "partial small subunit ribosomal RNA". The record is from RNAcentral. Lineage: Eukaryota; Viridiplantae; Streptophyta; Magnoliopsida; Poales; Poaceae.
AUGAGUCUCAUAUGCUGGAACUGUCGGGGCCUGGGGUCGGACUCGACAGUUGGCGAGCUUCGCUGGUUGGUGAAGCUUUACCGACCCUCCCUCCUCUUUCUGUCGGAAACGAAGAUGAGGGAUAACCGUGUCAGGAACUGUAUGUGGUCUCUGGGUUUCUCUGGUUGCUUUGCUGUGAGUAGAGAGGGCCUUAGUGGAGGUCUUGCUUUAUUC